UUUGAUCCUGGCUCAGGAUAAACGCUGGCGGCGCACAUAAGACAUGCAAGUCGAACGGACUUAACCAUUAGUUUACUAUUGGAGCGGUUAGUGGCGGACUGGUGAGUAACACGUAAGCAACCUGCCUAUCAGAGGGGAACAACAGUUAGAAAUGACUGCUAAUACCGCAUAUGCCAUGAAUAUCACAUGAUAUAAAUGGGAAAGGAGCAAUCCGCUGAUAGAUGGGCUUGCGUCUGAUUAGAUAGUUGGUGGGGGUAACGGCCUACCAAGUCGACGAUCAGUAGCCGGACUGAGAAGUUGAACGGCCACAUUGGGACUGAGAUACGGCCCAGACUCCUACGGGAGGCAGCAGUCGGGAAUAUUGCGCAAUGGAGGAAACUCUGACGCAGUGACGCCGCGUGCAGGAAGAAGGUUUUCGGAUUGUAAACUGCUUUAGACAGGGAAGAUAAUGACAGUACCUGUAGAAUAAGCUCCGGCUAACUACGUG
Molecule: ribosomal RNA, 487 nt
Filed under: uncultured Clostridia bacterium
Lineage: Bacteria; Bacillati; Bacillota; Clostridia
Description: bacterial SSU rRNA
Rfam family: Bacterial small subunit ribosomal RNA
Source: RNAcentral